AAACCCCUUAGUACUAGUUACAUAUAGAACAUAACUUUUGCAAUAACCACCUCAAAUCUCUCAUAUAUCAAUCAAUUUGUCCUUCCUAAAUAAGAAAUGUUUCAGACCUGUACGAGUGCCCCUGUCCUAUCAAGUUCACACAAAAAACUGCACAUAUAUCGCCAUCAAGAACAUUAAUCUAUCCACUUGAAAUCAUAACAAAACAUAAAUUUGAAAUUGCAUGAUCCCAGACCGAACACAACAGAAGAGACACACACAUACAUAUCUUAUCAAGUGUAACAUAUCAUGAGAGGAUCAUCUUUGGUACAUCUCAUGCAAGACUAAUUAUGAAGGACCAAAAUAAUCGCCGUUUCAGCAAGCAUUGCCAGUAAAAAUUGCGUCAACUUUUGCUACUUGAUGGUACACAACAGAAAAGCCUCUGUUACUAGUGCACUCAUCGAGCUUCUUGUGCUGGGAGAGAUCAGACCUAAUAACAAAAUAAAAUUCAGUUAGCACAGGUCCGUACAAGUUUCAAGCAUUCAUAAUCUUAUUACUCAUGAUCUAAUCGAAUGAAUAUGCAUCAACAAUGCCAUCUGACUGUGUGCUGCACAUACCACAUGGAAGGAAAAUAGAGAUGAAUCAAAUUCAUCCAAAAACACAACCUAACGUAUGCUUCUAUGCUGGAACUCUCAGAGCCGCCAGCUAUUUUGUUGCUCAUCCUAACUUACUAAUAAUGAAAUAGAUUAUAAAACAUUAUGUAUCUCGUACAAAAAACAAUAGUGCAUUCUGUUCAUAUGGUGAGACUGGCAACCAAUGGCAGAAGUAGGCAACAAAAAUAUUAACAUAUAAAGUUCAGAUAAACUUAAGUUAACACGCAAAAUGCAGAAUCGUAUUAGACAUCAAUCAUAUAAACCUCGGGAUUUGACUGAAAAGAGCUCAUAAUUUUUGUUCAGAUACUCCACUGGGCAAAAAUAUCUAGCAAUAUUAUUUGCAAACACACUGGGCUUGCAUAUUUUUUUGAUCAGGUACCUUUAUAAAAUUUUAACAAAAAAUAUUCAUUGACAAAAAUAUUUUUCGGCAAACAAGUGCAACUACUUUUCUUUCUCUGGAAGAAGACAUCUCCAAUUGCAAGGUUGCAAAUUAGAAGGUACAGACAACGAGAGUCUUAUUUUACAAGCGGAAGGUUACAAUGAAUGCAAACUGAACACAAGAAUGAUAUCCUUCAACCUCUCGGUGAAAUAUGUACACUAUAUAUUCUUUAACUAUUUUGGUCAGGUGAAUUCAACAUUUAAAAAUCUAAAACAACACACGAACAUGCUGCUAGAUAUAUUAAAUUAGUUCAUGGAUGUAAGCGCGGUUUUGAGCUGACCACAUUUUGACCUCCAAGCUUUGAUGUUGCCUGAUACUAAUAUUUUGGUCACCGAUAAUCUUACAUGUUAGGACAGACUACAAAAGCUUAACAUAAACUUCUGAACUAAUUUCACCAGGACAACGAGAGCCACUAUAGGAUGUUCAUGUGUGGCUGUAUCACAAGCAUAUAUACCUCUAUAACAUCGCGAGGCAACGAGAGCCACUAUAUGAUGUUCCUGUAUCUCAAGCUAAGGCUGAAACAUCAUCUCGCCAGAAUCUAUUCCAUACUAUUUUUUGACACACCACACGACAUCCGUAUAUGCAUGCUAAAUAUUCAGCUUUAUCAGCCUCUCACUAAAAUCUACUCUGUUCAUGUGUUUCUGCUCCGACUCUCUCUGCACUCCAACGAAAAUAAAAGAAGUGGGCUUGACCGUUUCAUCAGAUAUAGUUCAAACCACGGGCGAGGCGCUUUGAAGCUAAACCUCCAUUGAACCCCUUUUUUGGGGAAAGUACGAGAUGCAUAUUUAGAAGUAUCAACAAAUUCUGAACAAAAUCCAACAUGUGCAUAUACAGUACAUAUGUGUAAACUUUCAUUAGAUGGAUAUGCCUCUUCCUGAACACAUCACAGUAUAAAAUAUGAGCUACAAUGACCAAUGUUGACAAAAUGUGCAAUCUUCAGACACAUGUGUUCUUGGAUAGCAUACCAGAACUAAGCCAUAGCACUAAGCAUCAUGCUAAGCGUCACAGGAGAAGGGAGCUGCCAUUAGAGAAUAAUCUACAGGAGGGAGAGGGGGGAGGGAAGUGGGAGAAACGGAGCUGACCUUGUUUCCGAUCCUGCAAGGCGAAGGAGGCGAGGAGAUCAAACACCACCGGCUUGCCCCCGGUGAGCUAUUGCUGGAUCUAGGAGCAACGGGGAGGAGAAGAUAGUGGCAGCAUCACCAUGGACUAGAUCACUACUAGCUUGCCUCCGGAUGUAGGAAUGUGCUGAGCGGGCGGGACACCCGCGGCCACCAGGGACGAGGAGACCGUGGCGGCGGCUACCUGGUCGCUGACGACGAUGUGCAGCGCGAUGAUGUGGUGGCCUGGGGACGGAGCCAAGCGACGUAGAUGUCGUAGUAGGAGGGGAGGAGGCAUGGAGUAGGUGUCGUGGGAGUAACCAUCGUCCACCAUGGAAGCACCGGAUCUGCCUAU
RNAcentral lists this long non-coding RNA (2520 nucleotides) under Triticum aestivum (bread wheat). RNAcentral describes it as "long non-coding RNA (TAES_LNC011353)". The record is from RNAcentral. Lineage: Eukaryota; Viridiplantae; Streptophyta; Magnoliopsida; Poales; Poaceae.